AUCCCACCCAGAACACCACGUAACAUUUAGUUGUCUAACAUCUCCUUAGGCUUUCUUGCUAUGAGAGUUUCUCGAACUUUCCUUGUUUUUGAUGAUCUUGAGAGGUUUACUCAUCAGGCAGUUUCUCUACCACUAGCGCCACCUGGGUGAUACACUGCUGCUGCUGCUGCUGCUAAGUUGCUUCAGUCGUGUCCGACUCUGUGCCACCCCAUAGACGGCAGCCCACCAGGCUCCUCUGUCAGAUUAGAGCAGAGGCUACAGAAGAAAGAAAAAGAAAGAAAGAAAGGAGGAAGGGAGGAAGGAAAGAGGAAGACAGAGAGAACGAAAGAAAAAGGAAGGAAGGAAGAAAACCAACCUGGAGAUAACUCAUAGCCUCAUAGCAAGCGCCAUAUGAGUCAUUUAAGAAAAAAAAAAAAAAAAAAGAGCCACCACAACCUUCAGCAGAAGAGAACCAUUGAGCUCAAGUUGGGAAAAAAAAUAUGUAUGUAUGUAUGUGUG
Molecule: long non-coding RNA, 498 nt
Organism: Bos taurus (domestic cattle)
Lineage: Eukaryota; Metazoa; Chordata; Mammalia; Artiodactyla; Bovidae
Source: Ensembl